GAAGCCGCGAGGCCAGGCUGAAAGAAGCGCGUAGCAAAAGCACGACCGUAGGAACACGAACAAGCAGAGAGGCCGGGUGCGGGCGAUGAGUGUGCUAGGGAACACGAAAUCCAACCGUUACCGAAAGACGCAUCAGGUAGAGCUUGACGGCACGGGCAGAAAGUUUUAGUC
Molecule: non-coding RNA, 171 nt
Organism: Methylomicrobium album BG8
Lineage: Bacteria; Pseudomonadati; Pseudomonadota; Gammaproteobacteria; Methylococcales; Methylococcaceae
Source: Rfam